CGCAUCCAGGCGGGUACCUAGGGCCCAGGCUCCUCCGGCCCAGCGGGGAAACACGGAAGUGGAGCUGUGAACCCGGGUCGGGGUUGGGGGGGUACGUGGCGAACUAGCGGGGGGUCGAGCGAGCGAGGUCUCUUCUGCCCAAUGAAUUUGACGACACGGGGACACGGGGACACCGGUCCCGUGGGCUAGGACCGCGCCGCAGCGGACGUAAUAUCCCUCGCCCCAAGCUGCGGUUCCUGUUUUGCGCCUUGGCCGUGCCGAACUCCAACCUCACCCGCCCCGCCUUGCCAGCUGGCUGGCAGACGGGAAAGCCAGGGCUGAGCUAGGCCGGGGAAGCCGGUGGAGGUGUCGGAUUUCCUGUCCCCUCCCCACGCGGGCCACCCACGCCAUCUGCCCGAGAGAGGGGAGACACUCGUCCGCCCGCAGGCCGGCAGAGCUGGCUUACCUGAUUUCUCGUCGCCCGCCCCCAGAUCUGGCUUCCCCUACUCGGCACCGCCCGGCCCUCCUGUGUCUGCUUUCCCCCAAGUCCUCAUCACCUUGCUAGCUACAAAGCCCACAGGGAUCUUUUUAUCAAUAACCCAUGGCCAUCUGUCAGACCUCCAUCUGACUUGGAUAUGGGAGAAGGUAGAGUAAAAAGCAUAGGACAUGAUUUUACUUGCCAAAGUAAGGGCCUGAAGAAACAACAGAAAGCAGAAGGAAGGUAAACAUCCAGUGGGAAUCCAGAAGACUACAGAAGAAAAAAUAUUUGUAUAGAGAACUGGUAAAGGAGAAGAGUCGAGGUUGUUAAUCUGAUCAGCCUGCAACUGAGACUGAAAUUCUUUUCCAAAAUUACACAUCUCUGCUGUGCAUUUCCCGGCUCUCCAUAUACACAUCUCAUCUCAAUUAUUGCCUUGAAUAAAAUAAAUUAAAUAAGAAAUUGUUAUAUAGGAGAUUCUUUUAUUUACUGGAUAAAAACAUUGCUGGCUAGUAAUUAUCCUGAGCAUAAUUUGUUUAGAGCAUAUAGAAAUGUUAAUGUUUUAAAAAUGAAAUACUAGAUAAUUUUAAAUUGUGUAGAUUUAUAAUUCUGCUUUAAGAUCCCACAGAAACUUAUAAAAAUAGUAUUCUCUAUUUACUCCGUCAGUGUUUUCUAAUUGGAAUAAAACAUAAAAACACA
Ictidomys tridecemlineatus (thirteen-lined ground squirrel) is the source of this 1153-nucleotide long non-coding RNA. RefSeq lists it as uncharacterized. The record is from RefSeq and is a predicted model, not a curated record. Lineage: Eukaryota; Metazoa; Chordata; Mammalia; Rodentia; Sciuridae.